Molecule: ribosomal RNA, 460 nt
Filed under: uncultured bacterium
Lineage: Bacteria
Description: partial 16S ribosomal RNA
Rfam family: Bacterial small subunit ribosomal RNA
Source: RNAcentral
CCUACGGGUGGCAGCAGUGAGGAAUAUUGGUCAAUGGACGAGAGUCUGAACCAGCCAAGUAGCGUGAAGGAUGACUGCCCUAUGGGUUGUAAACUUCUUUUAUAUGGGAAUAAAAUGUUCCACGUGUGGGAUUUUGUAUGUACCAUAUGAAUAAGGAUCGGCUAACUCCGUGCCAGCAGCCGUGGUAAUACGGAGGAUCCGAGCGUUAUCCGGAUUUAUUGGGUUUAAAGGGAGCGUAGGUGGAUUGUUAAGUCAGUUGUGAAAGUUUGCGGCUCAACCGGAAAAUUGCAGUUAAAACUGGCAGUCUUGAGUACAGUAGAGGUGGGCGGAAUUCGUGGUGUAGCGGUGAAAUGCUUAGAUAUCACGAAGAACUCCGAUUGCGAAGGCAGUUCACUGGACUGCAACUGACACUGAGGCUCGAAAGUGUGGGUAUCAAACAGGAUUAGAUACCCGAGUAGUC